AGCGAACGCUGGCGGCAGGCCUAACACAUGCAAGUCGAACGAACUCUUCGGAGUUAGUGGCGGACGGGUGAGUAACACGUGGGAACGUGCCUUUUGGUUCGGAAUAACUCAGGGAAACUUGUGCUAAUACCGAAUGUGCUCUUCGGGGGAAAGAUUUAUCGCCAUUAGAGCGGCCCGCGUCUGAUUAGCUAGUUGGUGAGGUAACGGCGCACCAAGGCGACGAUCAGUAGCUGGUCUGAGAGGAUGACCAGCCACACUGGGACUGAGACACGGCCCAGACUCCUACGGGAGGCAGCAGUGGGGAAUCUUGCGCAAUGGGCGAAAGCCUGACGCAGCCAUGCCGCGUGAAUGAUGAAGGUCUUAGGAUUGUAAAAUUCUUUCACCGGGGACGAUAAUGACGGUACCCGGAGAAGAAGCCCCGGCUAACUUCGUG
RNAcentral lists this ribosomal RNA (433 nucleotides) under uncultured bacterium. RNAcentral describes it as "partial 16S ribosomal RNA". It matches the Rfam family "Bacterial small subunit ribosomal RNA", at positions 29 to 507 of the family's 1533-position model. The record is from RNAcentral.